CGGGCGGGUGAGUAAUGCUUGGGAAUCUAGUUUAUGGAGGGGGAUAACUACGGGAAACUGUAGCUAAUACCGCGUAGUAUCGGAAGAUGAAAGUGUGGGACCUUCGGGCCACAUGCCAUAGGAUGAGCCCAAGUGGGAUUAGGUAGUUGGUGAGGUAAAGGCUCACCAAGCCGACGAUCUCUAGCUGGUCUGAGAGGAUGACCAGCCACACUGGGACUGAGACACGGCCCAG
Molecule: ribosomal RNA, 232 nt
Filed under: uncultured bacterium
Lineage: Bacteria
Description: partial 16S ribosomal RNA
Rfam family: Bacterial small subunit ribosomal RNA
Source: RNAcentral